This 497-nucleotide ribosomal RNA is filed under the name uncultured bacterium. RNAcentral's name for it is "partial 16S ribosomal RNA". It matches the Rfam family "Bacterial small subunit ribosomal RNA", at positions 28 to 507 of the family's 1533-position model. The record is from RNAcentral.
GAUGAACGCUGGCGGCGUGCCUAAUACAUGCAAGUCGAGCGAACAGACGAGGAGCUUGCUCCUCUGACGUUAGCGGCGGACGGGUGAGUAACACGUGGAUAACCUACCUAUAAGACUGGGAUAACUUCGGGAAACCGGAGCUAAUACCGGAUAAUAUAUUGAACCGCAUGGUUCAAUAGUGAAAGACGGUUUUGCUGUCUCUUAUAGAUGGAUCCGCGCCGCAUUAGCUAGUUGGUAAGGUAACGGCUUACCAAGGCAACGAUGCGUAGCCGACCUGAGAGGGUGAUCGGCCACACUGGAACUGAGACACGGUCCAGACUCCUACGGGAGGCAGCAGUAGGGAAUAUUCGGCAAUGGGCGAAAGCCUGACGGAGCAACGCCGCGUGAGUGAUGAAGGUCUUCGGAUCGUAAAACUCUGUUAUUAGGGAAGAACAAAUGUGUAAGUAAAUAUGCACGUCUUGACGGUACCUAAUCAGAAAGCCACGGCUAACUACGUG